RNAcentral lists this ribosomal RNA (467 nucleotides) under uncultured bacterium. RNAcentral describes it as "partial 16S ribosomal RNA". It matches the Rfam family "Bacterial small subunit ribosomal RNA", at positions 28 to 506 of the family's 1533-position model. The record is from RNAcentral.
GACGAACGCUGGCGGCGUGCUUAACACAUGCAAGUUGAACGGAAAGGCCCUGCUUUUGUGGGGUGCUCGAGUGGCGAACGGGUGAGUAACACGUGAGUAGCCUGCCCUUGACUUUGGGAUAACUUCAGGAAACUGGGGCUAAUACCGGAUAGGAGCUCCUGCUGCAUGGUGGGGGUUGGAAAGUUUCGGCGGUUGGGGAUGGACUCGCGGCUUAUCAGCUUGUUGGUGGGGUAGUGGCUUACCAAGGCUUUGACGGGUAGCCGGCCUGAGAGGGUGACCGGCAAAAUGGGGAUUGAGUUACGGCCAGGCCUCUUCCGGGAGGAAGAAGUGGGGAAUAUUGACCAUUGGCCGGAGGCCGGAUGAAGAACCCCGGGGUGGGGGAUGACGCCCUUCGGGUUGAAAACCGCUUUCGCCUGUGACGAAGCGUGAGGGACGGUAAUGGGUAAAGAAGAACCGGCUAACUACGU